Molecule: ribosomal RNA, 857 nt
Filed under: uncultured bacterium
Lineage: Bacteria
Description: bacterial SSU rRNA
Rfam family: Bacterial small subunit ribosomal RNA
Source: RNAcentral
CAUGCAGUCGAACGAGAGAAGAGAAGCUUGCUUUUCUGAUCUAGUGGCGGACGGGUGAGUAACACGUGAGCAAUCUGCCUUUCAGAGGGGGAUACCGAUUGGAAACGAUCGUUAAUACCGCAUAACAUAAUUGAACCGCAUGAUUUGAUUAUCAAAGAUUUAUCGCUGAAAGAUGAGCUCGCGUCUGAUUAGCUAGUUGGUAAGGUAACGGCUUACCAAGGCGACGAUCAGUAGCCGGACUGAGAGGUUGAUCGGCCACAUUGGGACUGAGACACGGCCCAGACUCCUACGGGAGGCAGCAGUGGGGAAUAUUGCACAAUGGAGGAAACUCUGAUGCAGCGAUGCCGCGUGAGGGAAGAAGGUUUUAGGAUUGUAAACCUCUGUCUUCAGGGACGAAAAAAUGACGGUACCUGAGGAGGAAGCUCCGGCUAACUACGUGCCAGCAGCCGCGGUAAUACGUAGGGAGCGAGCGUUGUCCGGAAUUACUGGGUGUAAAGGGAGCGUAGGCGGGAUCGCAAGUCAGAUGUGAAAACUAUGGGCUUAACCCAUAAACUGCAUUUGAAACUGUGGUUCUUGAGUGAAGUAGAGGUAAGCGGAAUUCCUAGUGUAGCGGUGAAAUGCGUAGAUAUUAGGAGGAACAUCAGUGGCGAAGGCGGCUUACUGGGCUUUAACUGACGCUGAGGCUCGAAAGCGUGGGGAGCAAACAGGAUUAGAUACCCUGGUAGUCCACGCCGUAAACGAUGAUUACUAGGUGUGGGGGGACUGACCCCUUCCGUGCCGCAGCAAACGCAAUAAGUAAUCCACCUGGGGAGUACGACCGCAAGGCUGAAACUCAAAGGAAUUGACGGGGGCCCGCA